This 459-nucleotide ribosomal RNA is filed under the name uncultured bacterium. Its description in RNAcentral is "partial 16S ribosomal RNA". It matches the Rfam family "Bacterial small subunit ribosomal RNA", at positions 338 to 795 of the family's 1533-position model. The record is from RNAcentral.
CCUACGGGUGGCAGCAGUGAGGAAUAUUGGUCAAUGGGCGUAAGCCUGAACCAGCCAAGUCGCGUGAGGGAUGAAGGUUCUAUGGAUCGUAAACCUCUUUUAUAAGGGAAUAAAGUGCGGGACGUGUCCCGUUUUGUAUGUACCUUAUGAAUAAGGAUCGGCUAACUCCGUGCCAGCAGCCGCGGUAAUACGGAGGAUCCGAGCGUUAUCCGGAUUUAUUGGGUUUAAAGGGUGCGUAGGCGGGUUAUCAAGUCAGCGGUAAAAUCGUGGAGCUCAACUCCAUCCAGCCGUUGAAACUGAUGAUGUGGAGUGGGCGAGAAGUAUGCGGAAGGCGCAGUGUAGCGGUGAAAUGCUUAGAUAUUGCGCAGAACUCCGAUUGCGAAGGCAGCAUACCGGCGGCGAUCUGACGCUGAGGCACGAAAGCGUGGGUAUCGAACAGGAUUAGAUACCCUAGUAGUC